This 1244-nucleotide ribosomal RNA is filed under the name metagenome. RNAcentral describes it as "bacterial LSU rRNA". It matches the Rfam family "Bacterial large subunit ribosomal RNA", at positions 1564 to 2817 of the family's 2925-position model. The record is from RNAcentral.
UGAAUACGAGAUGCUACGGCGUCGAAGCAGUGUAUGUCAGACUUCCAAGAAAAGCUCGCAAUGUCAUAAAUAAAGAAUGCCUGUACCAUAACCGACACAGGUGGGUAGGUAGAGUAUACUAAGGGGCGCGAGAUAACUCUCUCUAAGGAACUCGGCAAAAUAACUCCGUAACUUCGGGAGAAGGAGUGCCUUCUUUAAGAAGGUUGCAAUAACAAGAUCCAAGCAACUGUUUAUCAAAAACACAGGUCUCCGCUAAGUCGUAAGACGAUGUAUGGGGGCUGACGCCUGCCCAGUGCCAGAAGGUUAAAGAAGCUGGUUAGCAAUAGCGAAGCUGGUGACUGAAGCCCUGGUGAACGGCGGCCGUAACUAUAACGGUCCUAAGGUAGCGAAAUUCCUUGUCGGGUAAGUUCCGACCCGCACGAAAGGCGUAAUGAUUUGGAUACUGUCUCGGAGAGGGACUCGGUGAAAUAGACUUGUCUGUGAAGAUGCGGACUACCUGCACCAGGACAGAAAGACCCUAUGAAGCUUUACUGUAACCUGAAAUUGAAAUUGGACUUUAUUUGCGCAGUAUAGGUGGGAGGCGUUGAAAGUAAUCUUGCGGGAUUAGUGGAGCCAUCAGUGAGAUACCACUCCUAUAAUGUUAGAUUUCUAACUUUGGAUCAUGAUCUGGUCAAAGAACAGUUUCAGGCGGGCAGUUUGACUGGGGCGGUCGCCUCCCAAAUGGUAACGGAGGCGUACAAAGGUUUCCUCUGAACGGGUAGAAAUCGUAUCUAGAGUGUAAAGGCAUAAGGAAGCUUGACUGUGAGACCUACAAGUCGAGCAGGGACGAAAGUCGGUCUUAGUGAUCUGACGGUGCUGAGUGGAAAGGCCGUCACUCAACGGAUAAAAGUUACUCUAGGAUAACAGGCUGAUCUCCCCCAAGAGUUCAUAUCGACGGGGAGGUUUGGCACCUCGAUGUCGGCUCAUCGCAUCCUGGGGCGGUAGUACGUCCCAAGGGUUGGGCUGUUCGCCCAUGAAAGCGGUACGCGAGCUGGGUUCAGAACGUCGUGAGACAGUUCGGUCCAUAUCCGGUGUAGGCGUUAGAAUAUUGAGAGGAGCCUUCUCUAGUACGAGAGGACCGAGAAGGACAUACCUCUGGCGUACCAGUUAUCGUGCCAACGGUAAACGCUGGGUAGCUAUGUAUGGAGAGGAUAACCGCUGAAAGCAUCUAAGUGGGAAGCCCACCUCAAGAUGAGUAUUCUCAC